ACUGAUAGGAUAAAACCGUCUCUUCAAUAAGCUCUACACUAUUAUAGCUUUCAUCACCAAAGCCUCUGCAAAAAUGGCUUCCGCUCUUCACUCAAAUCUCAAUUUUCUUCAUCAUUCUCUGAAACCCAAUCCAAUCACCACCCAGUCAACCAACUUCCAUCAUAUUCCCAUACGGUGCGGCCCGCGAAGCAACCGUGGACCUCUAGUCAAAGGCAGAAUCCUAAGCAUAGAAGCAAUCCAAGCCAUCCAAUCCCUAAAACGUGCCCAAAAAACAAACUCACUGAGCCCCUCCUACCCCUCCCUCUCCCGCCUCCUCAAGGCCGACCUCCUCGCCGCCCUCCGUGAGCUCCUCCGCCAGGGAGAGUGCGCCGUCGCCCUCCACGUCUUCUCCAUCAUCAGGGCAGAAUACCCGGAUCAGGACUUGGGUUUACUCGCAGAUAUGAUCAGUGCGCUGGGUAAGAAUGGAAUGGGAGACGAGAUUGACCGUCUGAUUGACGAGUUGGAGGAGAUCGACGGUGGUGAUGAAAAGGGUCUUUCGAGAGUGAUUAAGGGUGUGAUUGGAGCCGGGUCGAAGGCAUCAACGGUCAGGAUAUGUGAGGCGAUGAAAAGAAGUGGGGUGGGGUCCAGUUGGAAAGUUGAUGAGUAUGUGGGUAAGGUUUUGAGGAAAGGGUUGAGAGGAUUUGGAGAGUUUGAGUUGGCUAAUGAGGUUGAAAGGGAAUUUUGUUGGGAUUUUAGGGUCAUCAAUACCUAUUUCAAUAUCAAGAGUUAAUCAGUUCGAUGCUGCAAGAUUGGACAUAGAAUGUCAGCGAUGUUAAAAGAACAGUUGGUUAAGGUCUUCUCUUUGAUGAAGGAAUGUUAUUUCAAUAUGAACCAGAACUUGAUGCAUUCCUUGAGUUUCUCAUCUGGCGGUUCUCAGUUUCGGUAGAUAAGCCAACUCCAGGGAAUGCUCUAAUGAAUUUGAGAUAUAGAGACGAACGUGCAGUGGAAGCAAG
Mangifera indica (mango) is the source of this 992-nucleotide RNA transcript. It is a transcript of the gene named protein THYLAKOID ASSEMBLY 8, chloroplastic-like, with no coding region annotated. Lineage: Eukaryota; Viridiplantae; Streptophyta; Magnoliopsida; Sapindales; Anacardiaceae. The transcript has 3 exons. The record is from RefSeq and is a predicted model, not a curated record.